This 545-nucleotide ribosomal RNA is filed under the name uncultured bacterium. RNAcentral's name for it is "partial 16S ribosomal RNA". It matches the Rfam family "Bacterial small subunit ribosomal RNA", at positions 355 to 914 of the family's 1533-position model. The record is from RNAcentral.
UGGGGAAUAUCGCACAAUGGGCGAAAGCCUGAUGCAGCAACGCCGCGUGAGUGAUGAAGGUCUUCGGAUUGUAAAGCUCUGUCUUUUGGGACGAUAAUGACGGUACCAAAGGAGGAAGCCACGGCUAACUACGUGCCAGCAGCCGCGGUAAUACGUAGGUGGCGAGCGUUGUCCGGAUUUACUGGGCGUAAAGGGUGCGUAGGCGGAUGUUUAAGUGAGAUGUGAAAUACCCGGGCUUAACUUGGGUGCUGCAUUUCAAACUGGAUAUCUAGAGUGCAGGAGAGGAGAAUGGAAUUCCUAGUGUAGCGGUGAAAUGCGUAGAGAUUAGGAAGAACACCAGUGGCGAAGGCGAUUCUCUGGACUGUAACUGACGCUGAGGCACGAAAGCGUGGGUAGCAAACAGGAUUAGAUACCCUGGUAGUCCACGCCGUAAACGAUGAGUACUAGGUGUAGGAGGUAUCGACCCCUUCUGUGCCGCAGUAAACACAUUAAGUACUCCGCCUGGGAAGUACGAUCGCAAGAUUAAAACUCUAAAGUGAAUUGAC